GCUGCUUUUGUGCCUUGAUAGAAGUCAUCAACAGUAGUCAUUCCUUGGUAGGGCUUUUGUAGGUAAGUGUUGACAUCUAUUCCCCCAGGGAUAACCAUGCGCCCAUUAGCCUCUAUGGUCUUGACUCCUCCAGGAACAAUCAGAUUCUCUCCUAUUUGCUUUAUAAGUCCAUCUUCCAGGUAUAGGUCCGCAUAGAAGGAGUGGUCAUCAUUGAUAAUUCUUCCACCUUUAAUGAGUAGUCGGUCACUCGUGAUGUGGGGGAUGCUCUUCUUGCCCUGGUACGACAUGUCGGCUCCCGCCCGGAACGCGCCCCGAAGAGCGAAAGAAAAAUAACGGUGGGGAUAACGGGAAUA
Molecule: long non-coding RNA, 353 nt
Filed under: Gallus gallus (chicken)
Lineage: Eukaryota; Metazoa; Chordata; Aves; Galliformes; Phasianidae
Source: RNAcentral